Molecule: ribosomal RNA, 511 nt
Filed under: uncultured bacterium
Lineage: Bacteria
Description: bacterial SSU rRNA
Rfam family: Bacterial small subunit ribosomal RNA
Source: RNAcentral
GACGAACGCUGGCGGCGUGCUUAACACAUGCAAGUGGAGCGACGAACCCGAGCUUGCUCGGGGGCAAAGCCGCGAACGGGUGAGUAACACGUGGUAAUCUGCCCUGAUGAUUGGGACAACCCCGGGAAACCGGGGCUAAUACCAAAUGUGCUCUUUCCACAUCAGUGGAUCGAGGAAAGGAGGCUUCGGCUUCCGCAUCGGGAUGAGCCCGCGGCCCAUUAGCUUGUUGGUGGGGUAAUGGCCUACCAAGGCUCCGAUGGGUAGCUGGUCUGAGAGGACGAUCAGCCACACUGGGACUGAGACACGGCCCAGACUCCUACGGGAGGCAGCAGUGGGGAAUCUUGCGCAAUGCGCGAAAGCGUGACGCAGCAACGCCGCGUGAGGGAAGACGGCCUUCGGGUUGUAAACCUCUUUCAGUUGGGACGAAGCCUCUGCGGUUAAUACCCGUAUGAGGUGACGGUACCUUCAGAAGAAGCCCCGGCUAACUACGUGCCAGCAGCCGCAGUAAGAC